This 71-nucleotide ribosomal RNA is filed under the name Distichophyllum rakotomariae. Its description in RNAcentral is "partial 5.8S ribosomal RNA". It matches the Rfam family "5.8S ribosomal RNA", at positions 1 to 66 of the family's 154-position model. From Rfam's summary of the family: 5.8S ribosomal RNA (5.8S rRNA) is a component of the large subunit of the eukaryotic ribosome. The record is from RNAcentral. RNAcentral also lists the same sequence under 1 other name. Lineage: Eukaryota; Viridiplantae; Streptophyta; Bryopsida; Hookeriales; Daltoniaceae.
AAAACAACUCUCAGCAACGGAUAUCUUGGCUCUUGCAACGAUGAAGAACGCAGCGAAAUGCGAUACGUAGU